GGGGAUUUAGCUCAGCGGUAAAGCGCUUGCCUAGCAGGCACAAGGCCCUGGGUUCGAUCCCCAGCUCCG
RNAcentral lists this transfer RNA (69 nucleotides) under Rattus norvegicus (Norway rat). It matches the Rfam family "tRNA". Rfam says of the family: Transfer RNA (tRNA) molecules are approximately 80 nucleotides in length. The record is from Rfam by way of RNAcentral. Lineage: Eukaryota; Metazoa; Chordata; Mammalia; Rodentia; Muridae.